RNAcentral lists this ribosomal RNA (102 nucleotides) under Phocaeicola vulgatus. Lineage: Bacteria; Pseudomonadati; Bacteroidota; Bacteroidia; Bacteroidales; Bacteroidaceae. The record is from RNAcentral.
GGCGGUUAUAGCAUACAGAAAUCACCUCUUCCCAUUCCGAACAGAGAAGUUAAGGCUGUAUGCGCUGAUGAUACUGCAAUAGCCGGAGAGUAGGUUGCUGCC